Long non-coding RNA from Phascolarctos cinereus (koala), 1670 nucleotides. The record is from Ensembl. Lineage: Eukaryota; Metazoa; Chordata; Mammalia; Diprotodontia; Phascolarctidae.
AAAAGAUAAAAAUAACUUUCACAAAGUUGAGGGCCUGAGUGCUGUGAAGGAGGACAGAAAGAAUUCUCUGCAGCACAGAAUUCCCCAAAUUUGAUUCAAUGUUGACUCUCCUUCUCUCUUAAUCUUUGGUAUCUCCUUCCUCUUUUUCUUGCUUCUGCCCUCCUCCACCUUCCCAAAGCCUCAGCAACUCAGACAAGUAAUUUCCCAAAGUAUAGGCCUGGAAAUUAAAGGUUGCAUUUCAGUACUAGUUAGUUACCUGGCAGUUAAAUGGAAUGAAUGCAUGAGUAAUGGUUUUUAAUUCAACUCUGAAGAAACAGUAUAAUAACCCAUCCUCACAAGGCUAUAUACAGCAUCCAGGAUUGCUCUUCUCCCCCAGGAAAGCUGGGAAAUUUGGAGUUCUGGGGAUGAUGGCUUUCCCUCUGCGUUAUUCGUCCUGCUGUACCUCUACUCAGCAGUUCAGAUAUGGCUGAUGACCUGCUGGUCUUGGAACUGUCUUCUUGCCAAGGUAACAGUUAGAUCUGGGAAGAGAGGUUGGCUGAUGCCGCUAAUGGUAUUCUCAAAUCCCUCAGACUCAACUUUCUGUGGAGACGAAGUGCCAACAUCUGGUGGUGGCCAACAUCUGGAGGAAGCGAAGGUAGAAGCUGGCUGUAUGUACACCUACUGGGUGUGAGUCAAGGCCUGACAGAAAGGCUCAAAGUGUCCCCCAACCCUUGUCUUUCUGAAAGUCCACUAAAAGUAUAAUAUGGGGGGGAGGGGGCAGAGCCAAGAUGGCGGAGUAAAAACAGUGAUUUGCUUGAGCUCUCCCCAAAACCCCUCCAAUCACCUAUAAAAAAUGGCUCUAAACAAAUUCUAAAGCAGCAGAAUCCACAAAAAGAAAGAGUCAAACAAAUUUCCAGCCAAAGACAGCCUAGAUGGUUGAUCAGAAAGGUAUAUCGUACCAGUCUAGGAGAGGAACACAGUUCAGCGUGGGCACACAAGCCGCAGGGAACCUGGAGCAGCCUUCAGAGGACUGAAUCGCAGGCAGCUGUAGUGGUUUUCAGACUUCUCAAUCCACAAAUGCCAAAGACAACCUAGAAGGUCAGUGGGAAAGUCUGUUUCUGCAGUGGUGAGAGAGGAGCCUGCGGUCUCAGCUCCAGUUCCCAAGAACGUGGCCCCCAGGGUGGCAGCUGCCUCCUGAACUUCCAGCCCACAUACUGAAGGGGAAUCAAGUGGCUGAUCAGAGGGGGAUUGCAGGGAUGUCUUUGCCAGUGCUGAGGCAGGAAUCUCUUGCUUUGCCCAUGCUUGGAUCUGGGUCACAGUUCUGGGUGGUGGUCCUGGGGUGAGGAGGAGCACUGGUGUGGUUAAGCUUGUAGUGGCUGUGAAGAGAAAACCCUCACAGUUCCACAACAGGAAAGAAUGCUUGUGGUCACUCAUAGACCAGAGCACAGGCCAGGAAAGGAGUAAAUACUUCGCCCUUGAUCAUAGCACCUUGGAAGAACUGAAAAUUUACAGGUCCCUAGAAGUAUCUUUGAAAACAGCUGCACAAAACCCCAGAAGCUUGGAACAGUACAUUCUCCACAUUGGAAGCAGACCUCUACCUUAAAACAAAGUUUAAAACUCAAGUAAUUGGCUGGGAACAUGAGCAAACCUCACAAAAAGAGUCAGACUGUAUUAUCUUACUUUGGUGACAA